GGAGACGUGGGUGAGUGGCUGAAACCAGCGGUUUGCUAAACCGCCGUGCUGAGUAAUCGGCACCGACGGUUCGAAUCCGUCCGUCUCCGCCA
RNAcentral lists this transfer RNA (92 nucleotides) under Sphingomonas qomolangmaensis. RNAcentral's name for it is "Sphingomonas sp. S5-59 tRNA-Ser". It matches the Rfam family "tRNA". Rfam says of the family: Transfer RNA (tRNA) molecules are approximately 80 nucleotides in length. Their secondary structure includes four short double-helical elements and three loops (D, anti-codon, and T loops). The record is from RNAcentral. Lineage: Bacteria; Pseudomonadati; Pseudomonadota; Alphaproteobacteria; Sphingomonadales; Sphingomonadaceae. RNAcentral also lists the same sequence under 1 other name.